AGAGUUUGAUCCUGGCUCAGGAUGAACGCUAGCGGCAGGCUUAAUACAUGCAAGUCGUGGGGCAGCGCAGGUAGCAAUACUGGGCGGCGACCGGCAAACGGGUGCGGAACACGUACGCAACCUUCCUUUAAGCGGGGAAUAGCCCAGGGAAACUUGGAUUAAUACCCCAUAGCAUGGUGGAGUGGCAUCACUCUGCUAUU
This 200-nucleotide ribosomal RNA is filed under the name uncultured bacterium. RNAcentral describes it as "partial 16S ribosomal RNA". It matches the Rfam family "Bacterial small subunit ribosomal RNA", at positions 8 to 202 of the family's 1533-position model. The record is from RNAcentral.